This 289-nucleotide ribosomal RNA is filed under the name unidentified actinomycete L4. RNAcentral's name for it is "partial 16S ribosomal RNA". It matches the Rfam family "Bacterial small subunit ribosomal RNA", at positions 814 to 1107 of the family's 1533-position model. Lineage: Bacteria; Bacillati; Actinomycetota; Actinomycetes; Actinomycetales. The record is from RNAcentral.
GCUUAGGUGUGGGUCUUUCCACGGACUCCGUGCCGUACGUAACGCAUUAAGCGCCCGCCUGGGGAGUACGGCCGCAAGGCUAAAACUCAAAGGAAUUGACGGGGGCCGCACAAGCGGCGGAGCAUGUUGCUUAAUUCGACGCAACGCGAAGAACCUUACCAAGGUUUGACAUCACCGGAAAACUCGCAGAGAUGCGGGGUCCUUUUGGGCCGGUGACAGGUGGUGCAUGGCUGUCGUCAGCUCGUGUCGUGAGAUGUUGGGUUAAGUCCCGCAACGAGCGCAACCCUAA